AUACUUACCUGGCAGGGGAGACACCAUGAUCAUGAAGGUUUUGUUUCCAGGGCAAGGCUUAUCCAUUGCACUGUAGAUGUGCUGACUCCUGAAAAUUCCCUAAAUGUGGGAAACUUUAUUACAUAAUUUGUGGUAAUGAAGUACUAUGUACAUGCUUUCCCU
Cavia porcellus (domestic guinea pig) is the source of this 162-nucleotide small nuclear RNA. It matches the Rfam family "U1 spliceosomal RNA". From Rfam's summary of the family: U1 is a small nuclear RNA (snRNA) component of the spliceosome (involved in pre-mRNA splicing). The record is from Rfam. NCBI's taxonomy places the organism in Eukaryota, Metazoa, Chordata, Mammalia, Rodentia, Caviidae.